CCUACGGGAGGCAGCAGUGAGGAAUAUUGGUCAAUGGGCGGAAGCCUGAACCAGCCAAGUAGCGUGCAGGAUGACGGCCCUACGGGUUGUAAACUGCUUUUAUACGGGAAUAACGCGCCUUACGUGUAGGGCUUUGCAUGUACCGUAUGAAUAAGGACCGGCUAAUUCCGUGCCAGCAGCCGCGGUAAUACGGAAGGUCCGGGCGUUAUCCGGAUUUAUUGGGUUUAAAGGGAGCGUAGGCCGCAUGAUAAGUGUGCUGUGAAAUGCCCGGGCUCAACCCGGGCCUUGCAGCGCGUACUGGCGUACUUGAGACCGCAGAAAGCAGGCGGAAUGCGUAGUGUAGCGGUGAAAUGCUUAGAUAUGACGAAGAACCCCGAUUGCGAAGGCAGCUUGCUGCAGCGGAACUGACGCUGAUGCUCGAAAGCGUGGGUAUCGAACAGGAUUAGAUACCCUGGUAGUC
RNAcentral lists this ribosomal RNA (460 nucleotides) under uncultured bacterium. Its description in RNAcentral is "partial 16S ribosomal RNA". It matches the Rfam family "Bacterial small subunit ribosomal RNA", at positions 338 to 795 of the family's 1533-position model. The record is from RNAcentral.